This 379-nucleotide ribosomal RNA is filed under the name uncultured organism. RNAcentral describes it as "partial 16S ribosomal RNA". It matches the Rfam family "Bacterial small subunit ribosomal RNA", at positions 527 to 897 of the family's 1533-position model. The record is from RNAcentral.
GUAGGGUGCAAGCGUUAAUCGGAAUUACUGGGCGUAAAGCGUGCGCAGGCGGGUUUUGGUAAGUCUGUCGUGAAAGCCCCCGGGGGCUCAACCUGGGGAAUUGCGAUGGAGACUGCAAGGCUUGAAUCUGGCAGACGGGGGGUAGAAUUCCACGUGUAGCAGUGAAAUGCGUAGAGAUGUGGAGGAACACCGAUGGCGAAGGCAGCCCCCUGGGUCAAGAUUGACGCUCAUGCACGAAAGCGUGGGGAGCAAACAGGAUUAGAUACCCUGGUAGUCCACGCCCUAAACGAUGUCUACUAGUUGUCGGGGUUUUAAUUAACUUGGUAACGCAGCUAACGCGUGAAGUAGACCGCCUGGGGAGUACGGUCGCAAAGAUUAA